UUAAGUUAGAAAGGGCGCACGGUGGAUGCCUUGGCACUAGGAGCCGAUGAAGGACGGGACGAACACCGAUAUGCUUCGGGGAGCUGUAAGCAAGCUUUGAUCCGGAGAUUUCCGAAUGGGGAAACCCACCACUCGUAAUGGAGUGGUAUCCAUAUCUGAAUUCAUAGGAUAUGAGAAGGCAGACCCGGGGAACUGAAACAUCUAAGUACCCGGAGGAAGAGAAAGCAAAUGCGAUUCCCUGAGUAGCGGCGAGCGAAACGGGAUCAGCCCAAACCAAGAGGCUUGCCUCUUGGGGUUGUAGGACACUCUGUACGGAGUUACAAAGGAACGAGGUAGAUGAAGAGGUCUGGAAAGGCCCGCCAUAGGAGGUAACAGCCCUGUAGUCAAAACUUCGUUCUCUCCUGAGUGGAUCCUGAGUACGGCGGAACACGUGAAAUUCCGUCGGAAUCCGGGAGGACCAUCUCCCAAGGCUAAAUACUCCCUAGUGACCGAUAGUGAACCAGUACCGUGAGGGAAAGGUGAAAAGCACCCCGGAAGGGGAGUGAAAGAGAUCCUGAAACCGUGUGCCUACAAGUAGUCAGAGCCCGUUAACGGGUGAUGGCGUGCCUUUUGUAGAAUGAACCGGCGAGUUACGAUCUCGUGCAAGGUUAAGCAGAAGAUGCGGAGCCGCAGCGAAAGCGAGUCUGAAUAGGGCGCAUGAGUACGUGGUCGUAGACCCGAAACCAGGUGAUCUACCCAUGUCCAGGGUGAAGUUCAGGUAACACUGAAUGGAGGCCCGAACCCACGCACGUUGAAAAGUGCGGGGAUGAGGUGUGGGUAGGGGUGAAAUGCCAAUCGAACCUGGAGAUAGCUGGUUCUCUCCGAAAUAGCUUUAGGGCUAGCCUCAAGGUAAGAGUCUUGGAGGUAGAGCACUGAUUGGACUAGGGGCCCCUACCGGGUUACCGAAUUCAGUCAAACUCCGAAUGCCAAUGACUUAUCCUUGGGAGUCAGACUGCGAGUGAUAAGAUCCGUAGUCGAAAGGGAAACAGCCCAGACCGCCAGCUAAGGUCCCAAAGUAUACGUUAAGUGGAAAAGGAUGUGGAGUUGCUUAGACAACCAGGAUGUUGGCUUAGAAGCAGCCACCAUUUAAAGAGUGCGUAAUAGCUCACUGGUCGAGUGACUCUGCGCCGAAAAUGUACCGGGGCUAAACGUAUCACCGAAGCUGCGGACUGUUCUUCGAACAGUGGUAGGAGAGCGUUCUAAGGGCUGUGAAGCCAGACCGGAAGGACUGGUGGAGCGCUUAGAAGUGAGAAUGCCGGUAUGAGUAGCGAAAGAGGGGUGAGAAUCCCCUCCACCGAAUGCCUAAGGUUUCCUGAGGAAGGCUCGUCCGCUCAGGGUUAGUCGGGACCUAAGCCGAGGCCGAAAGGCGUAGGCGAUGGACAACAGGUUGAUAUUCCUGUACCACCUCCUCACCAUUUGAGCAAUGGGGGGACGCAGGAGGAUAGGGUAAGCGCGGUAUUGGAUAUCCGCGUCCAAGCAGUUAGGCUGGGAAAUAGGCAAAUCCGUUUCCCAUAAGCCUGAGCUGUGAUGGCGAGCGAAAUAUAGUAGCGAAGUUCCUGAUUCCACACUGCCAAGAAAAGCCUCUAGCGAGGUGAGAGGUGCCCGUACCGCAAACCGACACAGGUAGGCGAGGAGAGAAUCCUAAGGUGAUCGAGAGAACUCUCGUUAAGGAACUCGGCAAAAUGACCCCGUAACUUCGGGAGAAGGGGUGCUCUGUUAGGGUGCAAGCCCGAGAGAGCCGCAGUGAAUAGGCCCAGGCGACUGUUUAGCAAAAACACAGGUCUCUGCGAAGCCGUAAGGCGAAGUAUAGGGGCUGACGCCUGCCCGGUGCUGGAAGGUUAAGAGGAGCGCUUAGCGUAAGCGAAGGUGCGAAUUGAAGCCCCAGUAAACGGCGGCCGUAAACGGUCCUAAGGUAGCGAAAUUCCUUGUCGGGUAAGUUCCGACCCGCACGAAAGGCGCAACGAUCUGGGCACUGUCUCAACGAGAGACUCGGUGAAAUUAUAGUACCUGUGAAGAUGCAGGUUACCCGCGACAGGACGGAAAGACCCCGUGGAGCUUUACUGCAGCCUGAUAUUGAAUUCUAACCCGCCGCCCUUAUCGGGCGGGGAGACAGUGUCAGGUGGGCAGUUUGACUGGGGCGGUCGCCUCCUAAAAGGUAACGGAGGCGCCCAAAGGUUCCCUCAGAAUGGUUGGAAAUCAUUCGCAGAGUGUAAAGGCACAAGGGAGCUUGACUGCGAGACCUACAAGUCGAGCAGGGACGAAAGUCGGGCUUAGUGAUCCGGUGGUUCCGCAUGGAAGGGCCAUCGCUCAACGGAUAAAAGCUACCCCGGGGAUAACAGGCUUAUCUCCCCCAAGAGUCCACAUCGACGGGGAGGUUUGGCACCUCGAUGUCGGCUCAUCGCAUCCUGGGGCUGUAGUCGGUCCCAAGGGUUGGGCUGUUCGCCCAUUAAAGCGGUACGCGAGCUGGGUUCAGAACGUCGUGAGACAGUUCGGUCCCUAUCCGUCGCGGGCGCAGGAAAUUUGAGAGGAGCUGUCCUUAGUACGAGAGGACCGGGAUGGACGCACCGCUGGUGUACCAGUUGUUCUGCCAAGGGCAUCGCUGGGUAGCUAUGUGCGGACGGGAUAAGUGCUGAAAGCAUCUAAGCAUGAAGCCCCCCUCAAGAUGAGAUUUCCCAUUCCGCAAGGAAGUAAGAUCCCUGAAAGAUGAUCAGGUUGAUAGGUCUGAGGUGGAAGUGUGGCGACACAUGGAGCUGACAGAUACUAAUCGAUCGAGGACUUAAC
This 2820-nucleotide ribosomal RNA is filed under the name Bacillus subtilis subsp. subtilis str. 168. RNAcentral's name for it is "23S ribosomal RNA from Bacillus subtilis subsp. subtilis str. 168 (PDB 7AQC, chain A)". It matches the Rfam family "Bacterial large subunit ribosomal RNA". Lineage: Bacteria; Bacillati; Bacillota; Bacilli; Caryophanales; Bacillaceae. The record is from RNAcentral.